AGUGAACGCUGGCGGUAGGCCUAACACAUGCAAGUCGAACGGCAGCACAGUAAGAGCUUGCUCUUAAGGGUGGCGAGUGGCGGACGGGUGAGGCAUACAUCGGCUUCUACUUUUUCGUGGGGGACAACGUAGGGAAACUUACGCUAAUACCGCAUAUGUUCUACGGGUGAAAGCAGUGGAUCUUCGGACCUUGCGUGAUUGAAUGAGCCGAUGUCGGAUUAGCUAGUUGGCGGGGUAAAGGCCCACCAAGGCGACGAUCCGUAGCUGAUCUGAGAGGAUGAUCAGCCACACUGGAACUGAGACACGGUCCAGACUCCUACGGGAGGCAGCAGUAGGGAAUAUUGGACAAUGGGCGCAAGCCUGAUCCAGCCAUGCCGCGUGAGUGAAGAAGGCCUUCGGAUUGUAAAGCCCUUUUGUUGGGGAAGAAAAGCAGCAGAUUUAUCCCCCGCUGUUCUGACGGUACCCAAAGAGUAAGCACCGGCUAACUUCGUG
This 492-nucleotide ribosomal RNA is filed under the name uncultured bacterium. RNAcentral's name for it is "partial 16S ribosomal RNA". It matches the Rfam family "Bacterial small subunit ribosomal RNA", at positions 29 to 507 of the family's 1533-position model. The record is from RNAcentral.